RNAcentral lists this transfer RNA (67 nucleotides) under Enteromius hulstaerti (butterfly barb). Its description in RNAcentral is "tRNA-Tyr". It matches the Rfam family "tRNA". Rfam says of the family: Transfer RNA (tRNA) molecules are approximately 80 nucleotides in length. Their secondary structure includes four short double-helical elements and three loops (D, anti-codon, and T loops). Further hydrogen bonds mediate the characteristic L-shaped molecular structure. tRNAs have two regions of fundamental functional importance: the anti-codon, which is responsible for specific mRNA codon recognition, and the 3' end, to which the tRNAs corresponding amino acid is attached (by aminoacyl-tRNA synthetases). tRNAs cope with the degeneracy of the genetic code in two manners: having more than one tRNA (with a specific anti-codon) for a particular amino acid; and 'wobble' base-pairing, i.e. permitting non-standard base-pairing at the 3rd anti-codon position. Lineage: Eukaryota; Metazoa; Chordata; Actinopteri; Cypriniformes; Cyprinidae. The record is from RNAcentral.
GGUAUGGUAGCCGAGUAGGCAGUGGGUUGUAGCCCCGAAGACAAAGGUUCCAGUCCUUUCCUUAUCA